ACAGCAGAUUGAUGGGGCACA
Molecule: microRNA, 21 nt
Filed under: Gallus gallus (chicken)
Lineage: Eukaryota; Metazoa; Chordata; Aves; Galliformes; Phasianidae
Description: gga-miR-1704
Source: miRBase by way of RNAcentral